GCGGCAGGCCUAACACAUGCAAGUCGAGCGGUAGAGAGAAGCUUGCUUCUCUUGAGAGCGGCGGACGGGUGAGUAAUGCCUAGGAAUCUGCCUGGUAGUGGGGGAUAACGUUCGGAAACGAACGCUAAUACCGCAUACGUCCUACGGGAGAAAGCAGGGGACCUUCGGGCCUUGCGCUAUCAGAUGAGCCUAGGUCGGAUUAGCUAGUUGGUGAGGUAAUGGCUCACCAAGGCGACGAUCCGUAACUGGUCUGAGAGGAUGAUCAGUCACACUGGAACUGAGACACGGUCCAGACUCCUACGGGAGGCAGCAGUGGGGAAUAUUGGACAAUGGGCGAAAGCCUGAUCCAGCCAUGCCGCGUGUGUGAAGAAGGUCUUCGGAUUGUAAAGCACUUUAAGUUGGGAGGAAGGGCAGUUACCUAAUACGUGAUUGUUUUGACGUUACCGACAGAAUAAGCACCGGCUAACUCUGUGCCAGCAGCCGCGGUAAUACAGAGGGUGCAAGCGUUAAUCGGAAUUACUGGGCGUAAAGCGCGCGUAGGUGGUUUGUUAAGUUGGAUGUGAAAUCCCCGGGCUCAACCUGGGAACUGCAUUCAAAACUGACUGACUAGAGUAUGGUAGAGGGUGGUGGAAUUUCCUGUGUAGCGGUGAAAUGCGUAGAUAUAGGAAGGAACACCAGUGGCGAAGGCGACCACCUGGACUAAUACUGACACUGAGGUGCGAAAGCGUGGGGAGCAAACAGGAUUAGAUACCCUGGUAGUCCACGCCGUAAACGAUGUCAACUAGCCGUUGGAAGCCUUGAGCUUUUAGUGGCGCAGCUAACGCAUUAAGUUGACCGCCUGGGGAGUACGGCCGCAAGGUUAAAACU
This 867-nucleotide ribosomal RNA is filed under the name Pseudomonas extremorientalis. RNAcentral describes it as "bacterial SSU rRNA". It matches the Rfam family "Bacterial small subunit ribosomal RNA", at positions 39 to 901 of the family's 1533-position model. Lineage: Bacteria; Pseudomonadati; Pseudomonadota; Gammaproteobacteria; Pseudomonadales; Pseudomonadaceae. The record is from RNAcentral.